UUAAGCGACUAAGCGUACACGGUGGAUGCCCUGGCAGUCAGAGGCGAUGAAGGACGUGCUAAUCUGCGAAAAGCGUCGGUAAGGUGAUAUGAACCGUUAUAACCGGCGAUGUCCGAAUGGGGAAACCCAGUGCAAUUCGUUGCACUAUCGUUAACUGAAUACAUAGGUUAACGAGGCGAACCGGGGGAACUGAAACAUCUAAGUACCCCGAGGAAAAGAAAUCAACCGAGAUUCCCCCAGUAGCGGCGAGCGAACGGGGAGCAGCCCAGAGUCUGAAUCAGCUUGUGUGUUAGUGGAACGGUCUGGAAAGUCCGACGGUACAGGGUGAUAGUCCCGUACACCAAAAUGCACAGGUUGUGAACUCGAAGAGUAGGGCGGGACACGUGGUAUCCUGUCUGAAUAUGGGGGGACCAUCCUCCAAGGCUAAAUACUCCUGACUGACCGAUAGUGAACCAGUACCGUGAGGGAAAGGCGAAAAAGAACCCCGGCGAGGGGAGUGAAAAAGAACCUGAAACCGUGUACGUACAAGCAGUGGGAGCACCUUUAUGGUGUGACUGCGUACCUUUUGUAUAAUGGGUCAGCGACUUAUAUUCUGUAGCAAGGUUAACCGUAUAGGGGAGCCGCAGGGAAACCGAGUCUUAACUGGGCGUUAAGUUGCAGGGUAUAGACCCGAAACCCGGUGAUCUAGCCAUGGGCAGGUUGAAGGUUGGGUAACACUAACUGGAGGACCGAACCGACUAAUGUUGAAAAAUUAGCGGAUGACUUGUGGCUGGGGGUGAAAGGCCAAUCAAACCGGGAGAUAGCUGGUUCUCCCCGAAAGCUAUUUAGGUAGCGCCUCGUGAACUCAUCUUCGGGGGUAGAGCACUGUUUCGGCUAGGGGGUCAUCCCGACUUACCAACCCGAUGCAAACUACGAAUACCGAAGAAUGUUAUCACGGGAGACACACGGCGGGUGCUAACGUCCGUCGUGAAGAGGGAAACAACCCAGACCGCCAGCUAAGGUCCCAAAGUCAUGGUUAAGUGGGAAACGAUGUGGGAAGGCAUAGACAGCUAGGAGGUUGGCUUAGAAGCAGCCAUCAUUUAAAGAAAGCGUAAUAGCUCACUGGUCGAGUCGGCCUGCGCGGAAGAUGUAACGGGGCUAAACCAUGCACCGAAGCUGCGGCAGCGACACUAUGUGUUGUUGGGUAGGGGAGCGUUCUGUAAGCCUGCGAAGGUGGCCUGUGAGGGCUGCUGGAGGUAUCAGAAGUGCGAAUGCUGACAUAAGUAACGAUAAAGCGGGUGAAAAGCCCGCUCGCCGGAAGACCAAGGGUUCCUGUCCAACGUUAAUCGGGGCAGGGUGAGUCGACCCCUAAGGCGAGGCCGAAAGGCGUAGUCGAUGGGAAACAGGUUAAUAUUCCUGUACUUGGUGUUACUGCGAAGGGGGGACGGAGAAGGCUAUGUUAGCCGGGCGACGGUUGUCCCGGUUUAAGCAUGUAGGCGGAGGUUCCAGGUAAAUCCGGUACCUUUUUAACGCUGAGGUGUGAUGACGAGGCACUACGGUGCUGAAGUAACAAAUGCCCUGCUUCCAGGAAAAGCCUCUAAGCAUCAGGUAACAUUAAAUCGUACCCCAAACCGACACAGGUGGUCAGGUAGAGAAUACCAAGGCGCUUGAGAGAACUCGGGUGAAGGAACUAGGCAAAAUGGUGCCGUAACUUCGGGAGAAGGCACGCUGGUGUGUAGGUGAAGUCCCUGCGGAUGGAGCUGAGACCAGUCGAAGAUACCAGCUGGCUGCAACUGUUUAUUAAAAACACAGCACUGUGCAAACACGAAAGUGGACGUAUACGGUGUGACGCCUGCCCGGUGCCGGAAGGUUAAUUGAUGGGGUUAUCCGUAAGGAGAAGCUCUUGAUCGAAGCCCCGGUAAACGGCGGCCGUAACUAUAACGGUCCUAAGGUAGCGAAAUUCCUUGUCGGGUAAGUUCCGACCUGCACGAAUGGCGUAAUGAUGGCCAGGCUGUCUCCACCCGAGACUCAGUGAAAUUGAACUCGCUGUGAAGAUGCAGUGUACCCGCGGCAAGACGGAAAGACCCCGUGAACCUUUACUAUAGCUUGACACUGAACAUUGAGCCUUGAUGUGUAGGAUAGGUGGGAGGCUUUGGAGCGUGGACGCCAGUCUGCGUGGAGCCAACCUUGAAAUACCACCCUUUAAUGUUUGAUGUUCUAACGUUGGCCCGUAAUCCGGGUUGCGGACAGUGUCUGGUGGGUAGUUUGACUGGGGCGGUCUCCUCCCAAAGAGUAACGGAGGAGCACGAAGGUUAGCUAAUCCUGGUCGGACAUCAGGAGGUUAGUGCAAUGGCAUAAGCUAGCUUGACUGCGAGCGUGACGGCGCGAGCAGGUGCGAAAGCAGGUCAUAGUGAUCCGGUGGUUCUGAAUGGAAGGGCCAUCGCUCAACGGAUAAAAGGUACUCCGGGGAUAACAGGCUGAUACCGCCCAAGAGUUCAUAUCGACGGCGGUGUUUGGCACCUCGAUGUCGGCUCAUCACAUCCUGGGGCUGAAGUAGGUCCCAAGGGUAUGGCUGUUCGCCAUUUAAAGUGGUACGCGAGCUGGGUUUAGAACGUCGUGAGACAGUUCGGUCCCUAUCUGCCGUGGGCGCUGGAGAAUUGAGGGGGGCUGCUCCUAGUACGAGAGGACCGGAGUGGACGCAUCACUGGUGUUCGGGUUGUCAUGCCAAUGGCACUGCCCGGUAGCUAAAUGCGGAAGAGAUAAGUGCUGAAAGCAUCUAAGCACGAAACUUGCCCCGAGAUGAGUUCUCCCUGAGACUAUAAGUCUCCUGAAGGAACGUUGAAGACGACGACGUUGAUAGGCCGGGUGUGUAAGCGCAGCGAUGCGUUGAGCUAACCGGUACUAAUGAACCGUGAGGCUUAACCUU
Molecule: ribosomal RNA, 2905 nt
Filed under: Klebsiella variicola At-22
Lineage: Bacteria; Pseudomonadati; Pseudomonadota; Gammaproteobacteria; Enterobacterales; Enterobacteriaceae
Description: bacterial LSU rRNA
Rfam family: Bacterial large subunit ribosomal RNA
Source: RNAcentral